CAGCCGCCACGGGAAUACAGAGGGUGCGAGCGUUAAUCGGAUUUACUGGGCGUAAAGCGUGCGUAGGCGGCUUCUUAAGUCGGAUGUCAAAUCCCUGAGCUUAACUUAGGAAUUGCAUUCGAUACUGGGAAGCUAGAGUAUGGGAGAGGAUGGUAGAAUUCCAGGUGUAGCGGUGAAAUGCGUAGAGAUCUGGAGGAAUACCGAUGGCGAAGGCAGCCAUCUGGCCUAAUACUGACGCUGAGGUACGAAAGCAUGGGGAGCAAACAGGAUUAGAUACCCGCGUAGUCCCUGUCUCUUAUAU
Molecule: ribosomal RNA, 301 nt
Filed under: uncultured bacterium
Lineage: Bacteria
Description: partial 16S ribosomal RNA
Rfam family: Bacterial small subunit ribosomal RNA
Source: RNAcentral